Molecule: ribosomal RNA, 1659 nt
Filed under: marine metagenome
Description: bacterial LSU rRNA
Rfam family: Bacterial large subunit ribosomal RNA
Source: RNAcentral
AGUAAAAAUUGAAUGAAUCCCCGAGUAGCAUGGGGCACGUGAAAUCCCGUGUGAAUCUGCGAGGACCACCUCGUAAGGCUAAAUACUCCUAGGUGACCGAUAGUGAAACAGUACCGUGAGGGAAAGGUGAAAAGAACCCCCAGAGGGGAGUGAAAUAGAACAUGAAACCGUAAGCUUACAAGCAGUGGGAGGGGUUAAGCCCUGAUCGCGUGCCUGGUGAAGAAUGAGCCGGCGACUUAUAGGCAGUGGCUUGGUUAAAGCUUUUUAGGCUGGAGCCGUAGCGAAAGCUAGUCUGAAUAGGGCGAUUGUCCCUGUCUAUGGACCCGAACCCGGGUGAUCUAAUCAUGGCCAGGAUGAAGCUUGGGUAAAACUAAGUGGAAGACCGAACUCACUGAUGUUGAAAAAUCAGGAGAUGAGCUGUGAUUAGGGGUGAAAUACCAAUCGAACUCGGAGCUAGCUGGAUCUCCCCGAAAUGCGUUGAGGCGCAGCGGUUAGUCAUGAGCUGUCUAGGGGUAUAGCACUGUUUCGGUGCGGGCUGGGAAACUGGUACCAAAUCGUAGCAAACUCAGAAUACUAGACAUGCCUUCGGCUAGCCAGUGAGACAGUGGGGGAUAAGCUUCAUUGUCAAGAGGGAAACAGCCCAGAUCACCAGCUAAGGCCCCAAAAUGACUGCUAAGUGGCAAAGGAGGUGAGAGUGCACAGACAACCAGGAGGUUUGCCUAGAAGCAGCCACCCUUGAAAGAGUGCGUAAUAGCUCACUGGUCAAGCGCUCUUGCGCCAAAAAUGAACGGGACUAAGCAGUCUGCCGAAGCUGUGAAAAAGCUGACUUUGUCAGUUGAAUGGUAGGGGAGCGUUCCGCUGUAGGUAGAAGUAUUAGCGUAAGCAAGUAUGGACGACGCGGAAGUGAGAAUGUCGGCUUGAGUAACGAAAACAUUGGUGAGAAUCCAAUGCCCCGAAAACCUAAGGGUUCCUCCGCAAGGCUCGUCCACGGAGGGUGAGUCAGGACCUAAGGCGAGGCCGAAAGGCGUAGUCGAUGGCGAACAGGUCAAUAUUCCUGUACUGUAUUUUUUUGAAGUCCCGGGGGACGGAGAAGGCUAGACUUGGCCGGACGCUGGUUACCGGUUUAAGUAGUUAGGUGUUGAGAGGUAGAAUAAAAAAUAUCUUGAGCUAAGCUACGAGUACGUUUGUCUACGGACAAAAAAGCAAGUGAGGUCAUACUUCCUAGAAAAGCCCGAACGACGUUUUAUGAAUAAGCUUUAGUUUAUUGAUAGUUUAUGAAAAAUACACCUGUACCUGAAACCGACACAGGUAGGUAGGUAGAGUAUACCUAGGGGCGCGAGAUAACUCUCUCUAAGGAACUCGGCAAAAUGACUCCGUAACUUCGGGAGAAGGGGUACCCUCUUUGAGGGUCGCAGUGACCAGGCCCAAGCGACUGUUUACCAAAAACACAGGUCUCCGCUAAGUCGCAAGACGAUGUAUGGGGGCUGACGCCUGCCCAGUGCCGGAAGGUUAAGGAAGCCGGUCAGCGAAAGCGAAGCUGGCGACUGAAGCCCCGGUGAACGGCGGCCGUAACUAUAACGGUCCUAAGGUAGCGAAAUUCCUUGUCGGGUAAGUUCCGACCCGCACGAAAGGCGUAACGAUCAGGGCGCUGUCUCGGAG